Homo sapiens (human) is the source of this 2658-nucleotide long non-coding RNA. Ensembl annotates it as PCBP1 antisense RNA 1. Its record names the gene PCBP1-AS1. NCBI's taxonomy places the organism in Eukaryota, Metazoa, Chordata, Mammalia, Primates, Hominidae. The record is from Ensembl.
GGGCGGCGAGGCGAGGCCUGCGGAGCGGAGGAAGACAAACAUAAAGAUGAAGUGCUUAAUUCAAGGUCACACAAUGUCGGGGAUGGACCUCCAGAUUUCCUUACUGGUGAGACGUGGUCUUGUAACACAGUGGUUAAGAAUGUGACUUUGGAGCCAGCCUGCUAGGGGCUGAAUUCUGACUCAGCCAUUUACUAACUGUGUGACCUUAGGUGGAGUCUCACUCUGUAGCCCAAGCUGGAGUGGCGUGAUCUCGACUCACUGCAACCUCCGCCUCCUGGGAUCAAGUGAUUCUCGUGCCUCAGCCUCCUGAGUAGCCGGGACUACAGUUGUCCCUUGGUGUGGGAUUGCUUCCAGUACCUCUGUGUGUAACAAAAGCUGCACCAUUCAAGUCCCACAGUUGCCCUGCGAAACCUCUGUAUAUGAAAAGUUGGCCCUCCAUGUACAUGGGUUUCCCAUCCUGUGAGUACUGUAUUUUUGAUCCUCAUUUGGUUGGAAAAAAUCUGCAUAUAAGUGGACCUGUGCAGUUCAAACCCGUGUUGUUCAAGGGUCAGCUGUAUAUUUACAGUUGUUAUAUUGUCUUGAUAAAUUGAUCCUCUGUCAUUAUGUAAUGAUGUUCUUUGUCUUGUUUUACAGUUUUUACUUAGUCUGUUUUAAGUAUAGCUACCCCUGCUCUCUUUGGUUUCCAUUUGCCUGAAAUGUCUUUUUCUAGCCUUUCACUUUCAUUCUAUGUGUGUUCUUAAAUGUGAAGUUAAUCUUCAUAGGCCACAUAUAGUUGGGUCUGUUUUUAAAUUUUUGAUAGUAUCCAACCUAAUGGGUGUGAGGUGAUAAUUCUUUGUGGUUUUGAUUUGCAUUUCUCUAAUGAUUAGUGAUGUUGAGCAUCUUUACAUAUGAUUGUUGGCCAUUUGUGUCCCUUCUUUGGAGACUAUUCAAAGUCCUUUACCCAUUUUAAAAAUGAAGGCAUUUGCCCUUUGUUGUUGAGUUGUAGGAAUUUUAAAAAUAUAUUCUGGAUAGUAAAUCCUUUUCAGAUAUAAGAUUUGCAAAUGUUUUUUCCCAUUCUGUGGGUUGUCUUUUCACUCUUUUUCUUUUUCUUUUUUUUUUUUUUUUUUUUUUGAGACAAGGUCUUGCUCUAUUAUCACUGGAGUACAAUGGCGUGAAUGUGGCUCACUGCAGUCUCGACCUUCCUGGCUCAAGGGAUGCUCCCACCUCAGCCUCCCAAAUAGCUGGGACUAUAGACACAUGUCACCACAUCUGGCUAAUUUUUUAUUUUUUGUAGAGAUGAGAUUUCACCAUAUUACCCAGGCUGUUCUUGAACUCCUAGGCUCAAGUGAUUUGUCUGCCUCAGCCUCCCAAAGUGUUAGGAUUACAGGUGUGAGCCACUGCACCCGGCUGCCUUUUCACUCCUAAUUGUAUCCUCUGUUGCACAGAAAUUUUUAAGUUUGAUGUAGUCCCAUAUGUCUCCUUUUUUUUCCCCAUGCUUUUUAUGAUUUCUAGCAUCUUUUUGUGGGCUUAUUGUGCUUGUAUAUCUUCUUUGGAGAAAUGUCUGUUCAAUUCCUUUGCCCUUUUUUGAAUGGGGUUGUUUGGUUUUUCUGUUGUGGAAUAUUUAAAUUUCUCUAUGUAUCCUCAAUGUUAAGCCAUACUAGAGAUAUGCUUUUCAAAUAUUUUCCCCCAUUCUGUGCAUCACCUUUUUUACUCUGCUGAAAGUGCUGUUUGAUGCAAAAAAGUGUUUAAUUUUCAUGAGGUCCAAUAUAUCUAUUUUUUCUUUUGUUGCCUGUGCCUUGGGUGUUAUAUUCAAGAAAUCAUUGACAAAUCCAAUGAUAUGCUCUUCUACACUCUUAAAAAUUAUAGACAACCCCAAAUAACUUUUAUUUAGUGGUUUUAACAAUAUUUACCAUGUCUGAAAUAUGAUAAACAUUAAAAUUAGUAUUUUGGAAAAAUGCCAUAUUAGAAACUGAUGAUUUAAAAGUAACAACAAUGAAUCCAUUACAUGUGAACAUACUGUUUUUUUGUUUGUUUGUUUGUUUGUUUUGAGACGGAGUUUCACUCUUUUGCCCAGGCUGGAGUGCAGUGGUGCGAUUGCAGCUCACUGUAGUCUUCGCCUCCCAGGCUCAAGUGAUUCUCAUGCCUCAGCCUCCUGAGUAGCUGGGAUUACAGGUGCUCACCACCACACCCGGCUAAUUUUUGUAGAGAUGGGGUUUCACCGUAUUGGCCAGGCUGGUCUUGAACUCCAGACUUCAAGUGAUCCACCCACCUUGGCCUCCCAAAGUGCUGGGAUUACGGGCAUGAGCCACUGCACCAGGCCAACAUACUUUUUAUAAAAACAGCUGUCUUCUCUAAAACAACAAAAAAAUGUAGAUAAUAGUAGUAUCAUUUUAUAGUUUUGCAACUCUCUUUAAUGUUUGGCUUAAUAGAAGAUAGUUGGAUUCUCGUAUCUGUUUUUGUAUUCAGUCUGUUGUGUAUGUUGUUUUGAUUGAAGUAGAUGAAGGAAAUCCAGCUACAUACAGAUUUGGAGUUGGAAAAAAUAGUAUUUUAAUAACCUUUUUAGAUCAUGGUGGAUACUCUUCUUUGUUAUGUCAUCAAAAUUAGACAAAUGGCAGUUUCUGAAAAAUUAGUUGUAAUGUGUGUAAAAAAUUAGUUGAAUCCAUAUCAGUGAACUCAUAC